This 493-nucleotide ribosomal RNA is filed under the name uncultured Bacteroidota bacterium. Its description in RNAcentral is "bacterial SSU rRNA". The record is from RNAcentral. Lineage: Bacteria; Pseudomonadati; Bacteroidota.
GAUUAGAGUUUGAUCAUGGCUCAGGAUGAACGCUAGCGGCAGGCUUAAUACACGCAAGUCGAACGGCAGCACGAAUAGCAAUAUUUGGUGGCGAGUGGCGCACGGGUGCGUAACGCGUAUGUAACCUACCCUUAACUGGGGAAUAGCCCCGAGAAAUCGGGAUUAAUACUCCAUAACAUCAUGAAAUGGCAUCAUUUUAUGAUCAAAGCUCCGACGGUUAAGGAUGGGCAUGCGUGACAUUAGCUAGUUGGUAAGGUAACGGCUUACCAAGGCUACGAUGUCUAGGGGUUCUGAGAGGAUAUUCCCCCACACUGGUACUGAGACACGGACCAGACUCCUACGGGAGGCAGCAGUAAGGAAUAUUGGGCAAUGGACGCAAGUCUGACCCAGCCAUGCCGCGUGCAGGAUGACGGCCCUACGGGUUGUAAACUGCUUUUGUACGGGAAAAAACCUUCGCUCGAGUAGCGGAGCUGAUGGUACCGUAAGAAYAAGC